GAAGAAUUUAGUUAAUAAAUAACAUUAAUUUGUCAAGUUAAAAUAAUUAAUUUUAAUAAUUCUU
RNAcentral lists this transfer RNA (64 nucleotides) under Discolomatidae sp. 3 ACP-2013. Its description in RNAcentral is "tRNA-Asp". Lineage: Eukaryota; Metazoa; Arthropoda; Insecta; Coleoptera; Discolomatidae. The record is from RNAcentral.